This 429-nucleotide ribosomal RNA is filed under the name Pseudomonadota bacterium. RNAcentral's name for it is "Proteobacteria bacterium partial 16S ribosomal RNA". It matches the Rfam family "Bacterial small subunit ribosomal RNA", at positions 355 to 776 of the family's 1533-position model. Lineage: Bacteria; Pseudomonadati; Pseudomonadota. The record is from RNAcentral.
UGGGGAAUAUUGGACAAUGGGCGAAAGCCUGAUCCAGCCAUGCCGCGUGUGUGAAGAAGGUCCUUGGAUUGUAAAGCACUUUAAGUGGGGAGGAAGGGCAGUAAGCGAAUACCUUGCUGUUUUGACGUUACCGACAGAAUAAGCACCGGCUAACUCUGUGCCAGCAGCCGCGGUAAUACAGAGGGUGCAAGCGUUAAUCGGAAUUACUGGGCGUAAAGCGCGCGUAGGUGGUUCGUUAAGUUGAAUGUGAAAGCCCCGGGCUCAACCUGGGCACUGCAUCCCACACUGGCGGGCUAGCGUAGUGCAGAGCGAGGUGGAAUUUCCUGUGUAGCGGUGCAAUGCGUAGAUAUAAGAAGAAACACCAGUGUCGAAGGCGACCACCUGGGCUCCUACUGACACUGAGAUGCGAAAGCGUGGGGAGCAAACAGG